RNAcentral lists this ribosomal RNA (482 nucleotides) under uncultured archaeon. Its description in RNAcentral is "bacterial SSU rRNA". It matches the Rfam family "Archaeal small subunit ribosomal RNA", at positions 1 to 491 of the family's 1478-position model. The record is from RNAcentral.
UUUCCGGUUGAUCCCGCCGGAAGCUACUGCUAUCAGGACCCGACUAAAGCAUGCAAGGCAUCUUUCGGGAGCCGAACUGCUCAGUAACACGUGGUUAACCUGCCCUUAGGUAACGGAUAACUUCGGGAAACUGAGGGUAAACCGUUAUAGGGAAUUGUUGCUGGAAGGCGCUUUUCUCGAAAUCUAUAUGAGCCUAAGGAUGGGUCUGCGGGAGAUUAGCUUGUUGUUGGGGUAAAUGCCCAACAAGGCUAUAAUCUCUACGGGUCAUGAGAGUGAUAGCCCGGAGACGUGCUCUGAGACAUGAGCACGGGCCCUACGGGGCGCGGCAGUUGCGAAACCUUCACAAUGCGUGAAAGCGUGAUGAGGGGAUCCUGAGUGAAUCCGUUUUUCGCGGAUUCUUUUGACAAGUCUUAAUAGCUUGUUGAAUAAGUGGUGGGUAAUACGGUUGCCAGCCGCCGGGGUGAUAACCGAGCCACGAGUGG